Molecule: ribosomal RNA, 253 nt
Filed under: uncultured bacterium
Lineage: Bacteria
Description: partial 16S ribosomal RNA
Rfam family: Bacterial small subunit ribosomal RNA
Source: RNAcentral
UACGAAGGGGGCUAGCGUUGUUCGGAUUUACUGGGCGUAAAGCGCACGUAGGCGGAUUGUUAAGUCAGGGGUGAAAUCCCGGAGCUCAACUCCGGAACUGCCUUUGAUACUGGCUAUCUUGAGUUCGGGAGAGGUGAGUGGAAUGCCGAGUGUAGAGGUGAAAUUCGUAGAUAUUCGGCGGAACACCAGUGGCGAAGGCGACUCACUGGCCCGAUACUGACGCUGAGGCGCGAAAGCGUGGGGAGCAAACAGG